GUGCUCGCUUCCGCAGCACAUAGACUCAAAUUGGAACGAGAAGAUUAGCAUGGCCCCUGUGCAACGAUGACAGGCAAACUUGUGAAGUGUUCUAUAUUUUU
RNAcentral lists this small nuclear RNA (101 nucleotides) under Neotoma lepida (desert woodrat). The record is from RNAcentral. Lineage: Eukaryota; Metazoa; Chordata; Mammalia; Rodentia; Cricetidae.